CCCCCACCAGCACCAGACCAAUCUCGCUCCUCGCUUAGCCUGCACAUUUAGAAAUACAUGCAGGGCGUGAGUACAUAAUACUCAGUGGGCAAACGCCGAAAAACAAGAAAGGUGCUCUUAGAGCUAUAAGUUUGAAGCUUGCCACAUCUCAGCAAUACACAGAAAUAAGUUAGCAUAAAUGAAUCUGUGCAUGCAGUUUUCAUAAUCAUGAUAUCAUAAAAAACGAUAGCGCAAUCAAAAUACUCAACAUGUAAGUACCACAUCUACAAUUUAUCACCAAAGGUACCGAGAAGUAGGCCUCCCUCUCGAGUACCGUGACCGGCCGACCCGAAGACGGCUCACAGUCACCUCUGUGCACAAAAUCCCGCUUGUGGCAGGACCGAAUUCGUCUCAUCAGUAGAGGGUAACAUACAAGCUCAACAUCAAAAAUUGGCAAGUCAAACAGUUCUCAAAUAUCAUUUAUCUCAAAUAAUUUGAUAAACUCAUAACAUCAUCAAAUCAUUUUAGAAAGCUCAUACGUUAUAUGUAUACUCAAAAUAUUGCCCACCUGAAGUCCUUCGCUUAUUCUGGAAAGAAAUCAGGCAACUUACUUCUUCGUCUCGCUCGGGCCUUCAUAUGUCAUCAUCACAUCGUCAUCGUCAUCGAAGGUUCAUGUGAUAAAACAAACCUUAGUCAGAACUCAAUUUCCAAAUCCAAUCUCUUCUUUACUUUAACUUCUCACUCAACGUCUAUUUACCCGUUAUAACUCAAUCCCUAGGUAUACUCGGCUUCUAAGGAUUCACACGUCCAAUUUUCGACUUAACUCUCAACUCGACUCAAACUCAUAGCAAACAAGCACAUAAACAAGUAUAAACACUUAAGCAUAUUAAAAACACACAUAGACAAGUCGAAAACAAGCUUUACUCUGCACUGACUCAACUUUAAAACCUCACCAGACUCUGUACAGAACUCUCCUGGGGUCGUAACUUAUACCAAAAGAAACCUCUUUGAGUCUAGUUUCAUUUAAAAAAAAGUAGGAU
RNAcentral lists this long non-coding RNA (1019 nucleotides) under Salvia miltiorrhiza (redroot sage). Its description in RNAcentral is "long non-coding RNA (SMIL_LNC002608)". The record is from RNAcentral. Lineage: Eukaryota; Viridiplantae; Streptophyta; Magnoliopsida; Lamiales; Lamiaceae.